This 520-nucleotide ribosomal RNA is filed under the name uncultured Glomus. RNAcentral's name for it is "SSU rRNA". It matches the Rfam family "Eukaryotic small subunit ribosomal RNA", at positions 569 to 1087 of the family's 1831-position model. The record is from RNAcentral. Lineage: Eukaryota; Fungi; Glomeromycota; Glomeromycetes; Glomerales; Glomeraceae.
AGCAGCCGCGGUAAUUCCAGCUCCAAUAGCGUAUAUUAAAGUUGUUGCAGUUAAAAAGCUCGUAGUUGAAUUUCGGGGUCAGUAGGUUGGUCGUGCCACUGGUAUGCACUGGUCUCACUGAUUCCUCCUUCCGGAUGAACCGUAAUGCCAUUAAUUUGGUGUUGCGGGGAGUCUGGACUGUUACUUUGAAAAAAUUAGAGUGUUUAAAGCAGGCUAACGCUUGAAUACAUUAGCAUGGAGUAAUGAAAUAGGACGAUCGAUCCUAUUUUGUUGGUUUCUAGGAUUGACGUAAUGAUUAAUAGGGAUAGUUGGGGGCAUUAGUAUUCAAUUGUCAGAGGUGAAAUUCUUGGAUUUAUUGAAGACUAACUACUGCGAAAGCAUUUGCCAAGGAUGUUUUCAUUAAUCAAGAACGAAAGUUAGGGGAUCGAAGACGAUCAGAUACCGUCGUAGUCUUAACCAUAAACUAUGCCGACUAGGGAUCGGAUGAUGUUAAUUUUUUUAAUGUACUCAUUCGGCGUAC